Molecule: long non-coding RNA, 1433 nt
Filed under: Numida meleagris (helmeted guineafowl)
Lineage: Eukaryota; Metazoa; Chordata; Aves; Galliformes; Numididae
Description: lncRNA (ENSNMEG00000006111.1)
Source: RNAcentral
AUGUACCUUUGCAGUUGUACAUAUGUGGGUAUUUUUUAUUCCAUCCAGCUGAACCAAUAUCUCUAAAUAUUUCAACGCCAAUUGCCUUUUCAUUGAAAAUUCCAGUGGAGUAUCAGAUGGCAAAGCGUUUAGCUCUGUGCAGGGGUCUCUAAAAGUGAGGAAUAAAGGGGGUAUUAAUUAAAAACAAAAAACUGAUAAAUGCUGAUAACUCUCGUAGAAUCAUAGAAUAGUUUGAGUUGGAAGGGACUAUCAAAGGUCAUCUCGUCCAUCUCCCCUGCAAAGAACAGUGACAUCUACAGCUAGAUGUAGGUGCUGGUUUGUGUUACGUUUUGUAUUGCUGAAUGACAGAUUAAUGCUGGGUUUUGUUUUGCCCUUAUCCUCAGACACCGGCUUUCCUUACAUGUGGAUGGUUUACAGCACACUGAACACUGCUUCUUUCCAAAACUCCAGAAUUUAAGGCCCAAGACAAAAUUACCCUUCUUUUCCUAUAGGAAAGUUUCCUGCUCUAUAAACUGUGCAAUAACUAAAUAAAUACAGAUAAAUAGGACUUGGAGGUAUCUUUGAAAUACCUGAAAAAAUGUCUGGGAAUGGGGAAAAAAGACCACCCCAGAAGCAGCAGUGAUAUAGAUAAAGUAUAGUCAUUCAAGCACUGGAACAGUUUCUGCUGAGUCCCCAUCCCUGAACGCUAAAACUAGGCUGAAACCCUGAACAACCCAAUCUGGUCUCAGAGCCAACCUGACUCUGAGCAGGCACUAUAUUAAGAAGCUCCUGAGGUCACCCCCAGCCCAUCAUUCCAUCCCUCUUCUCAUUCUUACCACCACAAUGACAUGUCUAAAGUGAAAACCCAUCUCAGAUUGCUGGAUUUUAGAAGAUUCUGAAAGUGAUAGAACAAUUGCCUCUACCCAACUUCUGGUGCUGAGCAACUGCAGAGAUGUUAAUUCUGCACUACAGGCAUGAGCUCCUGGGAAUACCGCAAGAAGCAACGCUUUGCACGAGUGGCUGUUUAGCAGUGAUGAAGCACCUCUCAAAGCUGAAGCUUCAGUGCUGUAGUGCAAUGUAUCUUCUGCCAGAAAGAGAUGAAAAUGGAGCUGGUGUGCUGCAGAUGGCAUCAUUUACUGAGAGGAAAAAUUAUUCAUGAGAUGAGCUAGAACUGAUCCGUGUUUCAAACAGCUUUCAGGCACUGUUAGGGAAUUGUUGAGUCCAUUUUAGGGAGAUAAUAUUGAGAUUCACUUAGGAAAUGUCUAAAGAAAGCUAAAGGACAACUUAAAAAAUUUCCUACUAAAGAAGAUAUAAAUAUAAUACGGAUUAAGUUACAAAAGGCUGCUUUCUUGCCAUUGUUUUCAUUUGAAGCAUUUGUUUCUGCAUAAGAAAGAUUUUCUUUGGAAGGAAAAUUAUGCAAUAAAGUUUUUCAUGUAUCAUAGCUUUUUAGAGAG